This is a non-coding RNA of Paramuricea clavata, 836 nucleotides long. NCBI's taxonomy places the organism in Eukaryota, Metazoa, Cnidaria, Anthozoa, Malacalcyonacea, Plexauridae. The record is from the annotation of a GenBank genome assembly.
AUCAUGAUAUAAACUAAAGAUAGCGUUCCAGUUAUAUUCAUUUCAAUGGAAAAAUGAAAGAAAUGGGAUGAAAAAUGUCGGCAGAGUAAACUGUGGGUCAUGCUCACAAUUUCCUUGCGACUACCUUACACAUAACAUCGCUCUAUGUCAGAAAUCACGUUGCAAGAUGUAGCAAAAAUUGCCUCGUGGAACAUAACAACAUUGUUGAAACCGACCUAUCUGCGCAUGCUCCGAAUGUCAAAGGUUUUCCUUAGGUUUUCCUUUCCAUCCGUCAAUAUGAAAUACGCGCGCAAAUUCGUCUGAGAACACGAACUACGUUCGUUUUGAGAGAUGACCCGUUGGUUUGUGCGAUUAUUCACAGGACGUAAUCUUUUCUUAUCCUAACUUCAUCCAGAAAGAUAACCCGUUUCUGCAAUAAAUCGGGCUACUAAAGCGCAAAGUCAAACGCAAAAUGCUCUGGCACAUUAGACUUUUAUAUAAAGUACACUAAACUUCUACGGAUGAGCGACCCGCGAAUUUCUAUUUUCCGCCGGGUCGUUUUGUUGGGUCCAGUGCAAUUUUUCUUUUGAGCCCCAUAUGAAGUUAUAAUUUAAAACUAAAGAAAAAAUGCCAUGUUGGAAAACAACAUACUCCAACUUAGGGUGCCCCGCUAAAUCUUGGGUGUCCCUCUGACGUUAGGACCGCUAUCAUGUCAGGGUGGGGCAGGAAAACUUUCCCCUGCCCCGCCCUCUUGGUAGCCCUGAGCGGCCAGGGGUUACAGUGCCCCGAAGUGGCUAAACUAGUCUCUUCUGUCCCCCCUGAGCGCCAUCACUGACGUGAAAGCAAAGUAAGCUACA